RNAcentral lists this unclassified non-coding RNA (212 nucleotides) under Bombus terrestris (buff-tailed bumblebee). Its description in RNAcentral is "misc RNA ENSBTSG00005020658.1". The record is from RNAcentral. Lineage: Eukaryota; Metazoa; Arthropoda; Insecta; Hymenoptera; Apidae.
AGGAGGACAGAGCGGUAGAGAGAGAGAGAGAGAGAGAGAGAGAGAGAGAGAGAGAGAGAGAGAGAGAGAGAGAGAGACAGAGAGAGAGAGAGAGAGAGAGAGAGAGGGAGAAGAAGAAGAAGAAGAAGAAGAGAAUCUCGUUCCUGAUGGAAAGGAGAACAAGCGCCAGUUGCUGAAUAUACGAGGGUAGAAGCUGAGGUAGGUGACGGAGG